RNAcentral lists this long non-coding RNA (478 nucleotides) under Salvator merianae (Argentine black and white tegu). RNAcentral describes it as "lncRNA (ENSSMRG00000008537.1)". The record is from RNAcentral. Lineage: Eukaryota; Metazoa; Chordata; Lepidosauria; Squamata; Teiidae.
GAGAAAAUUAAAGCUUAAUACCUUCAGAAGUGGGGGGAGAGAAUAUCUGAAGUUUUUUUUUUUUUUUAAAUGACCUUUCCUUGCAUAAUUUCGGAGGUAACCUAGCUGCGUAAUUAUAUUUGCACUUACAGAACGCUGCAUCACAGUCCCCUUAUUGGUUUGAAAUUCCAUUAAAUAUAUUGCAGAGCUCCUAGGUUAAGCUUGAUUUAAAUUUGCAUACAUUUUCAUAUAUUUAGCAGAAAUAAAAGAAGGCUUGCAGCUAACCGAAAGUCAUUAAGGCAUUAAGUUCUCUAGGAAGACAGAUCAGGAGAAAAAUUCAAGAAAAUGAAAAUACCUCCUUAAACAAGGAGCAAAAUCCUCAUUUGUUGAGCUGCUGCAUUAGAAAUUAUCAUCAUAACCAAGUCAACAUCUACUUUUCCUGCUAUAUAUUCUAGUCUUUCCUUGAUGUUAUGAUUGCAGUUUUGUUCUUGUUUUUCAA